This 165-nucleotide ribosomal RNA is filed under the name uncultured bacterium. RNAcentral's name for it is "partial 16S rRNA". It matches the Rfam family "Bacterial small subunit ribosomal RNA", at positions 355 to 511 of the family's 1533-position model. The record is from RNAcentral.
UAGGGAAUCUUCGGCAAUGGGGGCAACCCUGACCGAGCAACGCCGCGUGAGUGAAGAAGGUUUUCGGAUCGUAAAGCUCUGUUGUAAGAGAAGAACGUUUGUGAGAGUGGAAAGUUCACACAGUGACGGUAACUUACCAGAAAGGGACGGCUAACUACGUGCCNG